Molecule: long non-coding RNA, 1087 nt
Organism: Cyanistes caeruleus (blue tit)
Lineage: Eukaryota; Metazoa; Chordata; Aves; Passeriformes; Paridae
Source: RefSeq, a predicted model, not a curated record
GUAUCUUUUUAUAAAAUUCUCGAAUUUUUAAAACACAAAACUACUACUGUCUCUGGUCCCAGGCCCCAUCCAUGCUUCUACCUCAUCCACCAAGUUAAUUGCUGGGCUGAUUUUCAGUAGAAGAAAUCAAGCUUUAAAUUCCAAAACUCUUCACUCUAAGAGUAAACAAAGGAAAAAACGAAGACCUAAGGAACUACAGACCAAUGUAGUCAGUCUUGGUGUCCAUCGAGAUCAUGGAGCAGUUCCCCCUGGAAACUAUGAGAAGGCACGUGGAAACUAAGGAGGUGACUGGUGACAGCCAACAUGACUUCACUAAGGGCAAAUGGCACCUGGCAAAUCUGGUGGCCUUCUGUGAUGGGGUUGCAGCUUUGGUGUGUGAGAGAAGAGUGACUGACAUCAUUUACCUGGACUCAUGCAAAGAAUUGGCCACUGUCCUGCAUGAAAUUUUGUAUCUAAACUGGAGAGACGUGAAUUUGACAGAGGCUCCAAUCGGUGGGCAAGGAAUUGGCUGGAUGGUUGCACUCAAGAAUUGUGGUCAAUGGCUCGAUGUCCAAGUGGAGAGCAGUGACAAGUGGUGUUCCAGUUUUGAGAUCAGUUUUGGGACCAAACCGGCUCCACAUCUUUAUCGAUUACAUGUUUUGUACUUUCCUGUACCCCUUUCAACCCUACACUCAUAUACAGGUUUUGUCCUCAGAAAACAGGGAUAGACAGUUUGUACCUAUCCCAGCCACUGAGUGCUCACUGUCAGUAUGGUGGCCUGACAAAGACGUGUCUGAACACUUGCAUAUCUACCCGGCAGGCAGAUACUUGUCCUUUGAUUUAAAAUUGGCAAGUGACCCAAGUGCUUUGUUUUCUCUUCCACCUAAUGCAUUCAGCAUUGGUAGCUCCUAGGACUCCAUUGAAGACAUUUUGCUCUUUUGUGGUUCAGACAAGGAGAAACUACUGUUUAAUAAUGAAAUUGUGUUGCUGGUGAUUCAGCUGAUCUGGUAUCAAAAGUCUUAAUGUAUAUGUCAGGUUUUCAGUGUAGAAGAUUCUGUGAAAGAUACCAUCAACUAUGACAGCUCAUAUCUACUGAACUAAGUCAAAA